RNAcentral lists this ribosomal RNA (397 nucleotides) under uncultured bacterium. RNAcentral describes it as "partial 16S ribosomal RNA". It matches the Rfam family "Bacterial small subunit ribosomal RNA", at positions 523 to 918 of the family's 1533-position model. The record is from RNAcentral.
AUACGAAGGGUGCAAGCGUUACUCGGAAUUACUGGGCGUAAAGCGUGCGUAGGUGGUUGUUUAAGUCUGUCGUGAAAGCCCUGGGCUCAACCUGGGAACUGCGAUGGAAACUGGGCAACUAGAGUGUGGUAGAGGGUAGCGGAAUUCCUGGUGUAGCAGUGAAAUGCGUAGAUAUCAGGAGGAACAUCCAUGGCGAAGGCAGCUACCUGGGCCAACACUGACACUGAGGCACGAAAGCGUGGGGAGCAAACAGGAUUAGAUACCCUGGUAGUCCACGCCCUAAACGAUGCGAACUGGAUGUUGGGUGCACUUUGGCACGCAGUAUCGAAGCUAACGCGUUAAGUUCGCCGCCUGGGGAGUACGGUCGCAAGACUGAAACUCAAAUGAAUUGGCGGGG